This 1002-nucleotide long non-coding RNA is filed under the name Canis lupus dingo (dingo). Its description in RNAcentral is "lncRNA (ENSCAFG00020003581.1)". The stretch from base 628 to 724 matches the Rfam family "mir-8799 microRNA precursor family". The record is from RNAcentral. Lineage: Eukaryota; Metazoa; Chordata; Mammalia; Carnivora; Canidae.
UCCAAAUUCUGCAACUCUGUGGGAGAGAGUAGUGUUUCUGAUUCUUUCUUUUGUAGUGAGUUCUUUCUAGUCAUUUUGCUCAGUGCAGAGUGGCUAAAAACAAGUUGUACUGGAAAAAGGAAGGAAAAAAAAGGGAAAAAAGAAAAAAAUCCCAAAGAACAAAAAAACCAAAACGAAAACCAAAAACAAGGCGAGUUAUCCUCUGGUUCUAUAUACCUCGACUUCCCUUGGAACUUCCGGUGCUGCUUGGUCAAGAACUUGCUUUUCCCCUGUCCUUCCAGCUGUUCUUCUGGGGGCGGGGCCUGCUGUGCUGAUUCUCCGGUGUGUGCACCUCGGGGAGCUGCCCCACCCCCGCGCCGGAGGGGCUCAGUGGGAGCUGUUUAUCCUGUGAGGCCCCUGCUCCCUGGCGGCCCCGCCCCUUCCAGGCACAGGGUGACACCAGGAGAAACAACAGUGGCGGUGGCCAGCUCUCCAGCCCUAGAAUCAGCUCCCACAGUAACCACCGCAGCUCCAAGUCCACAGGGGCCUGAUGCUCUGGGGGCGGGAGGCGCUGAUCAGCAUAGCCUGGGGGCGCCGGGAGGCAAGAGCGUCCUUGCUGUCCUCUAUCCCGGCCUCUGCCUGUCGGGGGUGGGGGAGCUCCGGAUCCUGGGCUGUGUCCCCCAGCGCCCUGGGCUCCCGGGCCUGCGCGCUGCUGGAAUCGCGCUCCCAGGGCGCGCAGCCCCUCGGUGUGACCUGCCUCCUGAGCCGCCCCCGGAGCUGCUCCUGGGCCCCGCUGGGCGCGCGCUGCAGCCCUUUUCCGCGCUUGGCCCGCGGUGUGUGGUGCGCUCUCCCCGGGGCGCAGGUGCUCUGUUAGUGCCCCUGGGAGCUGGAGGGUAUCCCCGCCCCUCCUGGGACCCUGCCCGAGCUCCCAGAGAGCACCUUUCCCUUUGGGAAAAUAGUAAAUCUCCUGCUUCUCCAGGACGGGGCUUUCCUAUCCUGGGGGCACUCGCUGCGGGGCCUUAG